This 484-nucleotide ribosomal RNA is filed under the name uncultured bacterium. RNAcentral describes it as "partial 16S ribosomal RNA". It matches the Rfam family "Bacterial small subunit ribosomal RNA", at positions 30 to 507 of the family's 1533-position model. The record is from RNAcentral.
AUUGAACGCUGGCGGCAGGCCUAACACAUGCAAGUCGAGCGGAUGAAGGGAGCUUGCUCCUGGAUUCAGCGGCGGACGGGUGAGUAAUGCCUAGGAAUCUGCCUGGUAGUGGGGGAUAACGUCCGGAAACGGGCGCUAAUACCGCAUACGUCCUGAGGGAGAAAGUGGGGGAUCUUCGGACCUCACGCUAUCAGAUGAGCCUAGGUCGGAUUAGCUAGUUGGUGGGGUAAAGGUCUACCAAGGCGACGAUCCGUAACUGGUCUGAGAGGAUGAUCAGUCACACUGGAACUGAGACACGGUCCAGACUCCUACGGGAGGCAGCAGUGGGGAAUAUUGGACAAAGGGCGAAAGCCUGAUCCAGCCAUGCCGCGUGUGUGAAGAAGGUCUUCGGAUUGUAAAGCACUUUAAGUUGGGAGGAAGGGCAGUAAGUUAAUACCUUGCUGUUUUGACGUUACCAACAGAAUAAGCACCGGCUAACUUCGUG